Etheostoma cragini (Arkansas darter) is the source of this 366-nucleotide long non-coding RNA. RefSeq lists it as uncharacterized. NCBI's taxonomy places the organism in Eukaryota, Metazoa, Chordata, Actinopteri, Perciformes, Percidae. The transcript has 2 exons. The record is from RefSeq and is a predicted model, not a curated record.
CCAAUUAACAUUGUGCUGUUUUCAAAGGUCACAUUGUAUGUCAAGCUGGAACAUUUGCCAUAUCUUCUCUGAGUCUGGAUGAGAUUGAGGAUGUUGCUCUGGGUGGUUGCAGUGACGUCCAGCCACGCACUGGUCAUCAGAUGGCCCAGUGAACGGCUCCCUGGGAGGUCAGAGCUCCCGCCAAUGUACAGCCACUUUCCCAACAUCUAAAGCACACACACAGAAUACACAAUACAUGUAAACAUUUUUCAUCCUCUGGGGCCGGGACCUGGGUUGAAGGGAGAUAUGACACACUAAAUUAAUAUGUGAAGCAUAGUUACAGGAUUCACAUUUUAAAAUAAAAAUGUUUCCCCUGAUAUGGCUUGA